Molecule: long non-coding RNA, 2010 nt
Filed under: Capsicum annuum
Lineage: Eukaryota; Viridiplantae; Streptophyta; Magnoliopsida; Solanales; Solanaceae
Description: long non-coding RNA (CANN_LNC003982)
Source: RNAcentral
UUAGGGCACUCUUAAGUGGACGGUGCAAAAUAAUUAUACUCUAUCAAGGGAAAGCCAAUCUGCAUCAUAUUCUACUUUUAGUAGGUAAACAGGGUCCUCUAUUUCUUCUUUCAGCAUAUCCUUAUUAUAAUAUUAUCUUAAUGUUUGAGGGCCUCAUUUUAAUGCUUUUGAAGUAAUUAUAACCCAACUCUUUCCACAUGCAUUCCACUUGUCAGCAAACUUUAGCUCUUCACUAUUCCACUGGAAUGAUUUUAUCUUUUUUAUUUUUUGCUUUUCUCCACAUGGAGAGUGAAUAGAUUUCCUUCCUUUUUAUUAGCUAUUGAGAUGAGAAACCAUAAUUUUCACUUAGGUAUUCAAACCAUAAAGAAUCUAGUAAUUUUGACCUUAUAUACAGAAUCGUAUAAGUUUUCAACGAAUUCGUUUCCGAUACCUAGCUCCGCCCUAAGCAACAUAGACGGUGAAAAUUUAUAUAGCUAACCAAUUGAGGCAUAGUUACCGUUGUAUUUAUCUAAAAAAAAGACUUGAAGGGGAGCCUUGGCAUAAUGAUAAAAUUAUUGCUAUGUGAUCAGGAGGUCACAGUUCAAUCCGUGAAAACAGCCACUUACAGAGAUGCAGGGUAACCUACAUAUAAUAAAUAGACCUUUAUAAUUUGAUCCUUCCUCGAACCCCAUUGCAGUGCACCGCGCUACGCAUUUAGUUAUGUAAAUCUUUUGGAAGAGAGAAUAUAAAUAUCCUUAGUGGUGGAUAAGCAGGAUGGCCUAAUACAAAAAGAAUAUUUACUAGGAUGGGGGGACCAUAUAGAUUUGUCAUUUCUCUAUUUUGGUAGACCUUGUGUCCAGAUAAUAUAAUAUAAUAUAAUAUAGUGGACAAAUUCUUGGCUUCCAAGAUUGUUAUAUAAUAGAACUUGUAGAAGCAAGAGAAGCCAUCAACUUAACUUGGCCUAUUAGUUGUGAAGCACAAGAAGAUGUGGAGAAAGAAGAAAAAGAAGGAUUGUGAUGUACUAUUCGAGGAAAUGGCGAUUACUAGGUCACACCCUUUGGUGCAUCUGAUGUGAAUCGAUCGAUACCAAAGGGAUAAAAGGCAAGUCAUAGAGGCAAAGGGAAGGCAACGCCUUUCUUCCAGGAUUUUAAUUUCUUUCUUUUCCUCUUGUAUUUUCAUAUUACUAUCCAUCAUGGAUAAGUUGGGGUUCCCAAGUUUCACAUGUAAGUCUUUUAGCUUUGGGUUGAACUACUGUUCAGUUUGUUGCUUUAGUAUUAACUGUGUUGGAGUCAAUGCCUUCUUUUCAAGAAAUACAAUUCUGUUCCUACUUUUCUAUUUUAACCAAUGUGUUCUGCAGUCUAGUGGUGCUUGAAUAUCUACAUCCAAACAAUGAACGUUGCCGCCAAGGAUUUAAGUUAUAUACUCUGAUAGUGUAUAUAAAUUCUACACCUUUGGUGCAAUUUAACCGACUAUAGUCAACUCAAAAAAAUUGGUGGUCUAAAGCCAAAUCAGCAAAUAUAGGUUGAUUAUCAAAAGAAGACCUAUACAACCAAAAAUAUAAACCAAGUUUUUGUUACUUACUAUCAGUCGGUAACACAAGCGUUAAAUGUUAAGACAGAAACAUUAAGAAGUAAAUACACGAAGAAAUCAAAGGGAUUCAAUAUACAGUAUGCUGUGUAAUUUUCGAGCAAAGGAGUGUCGAUUGACUCCCCUUUGGACUAGGUAAGCUUUGCCCCUCGUUGUAUCAAUAGAGAUAUUGAUAAGAAUAACUUUACUGUAUUUGCCACCGAUCAUAAGAGAAUAGAUUAUUUUUAUUUACAGAUAACAGUAAUUAAUUAGCAAUCGCUUAUAGCAAGUUCUCCACAUAAUUUAAUUCAAACAAAUGUUAGAAUUUUUCAAUUCAUGUACCAACUUACCUCAGUGUAAUCCACUAGUGGGAUCUGGAAGGAUGGAGAGUAUGCACACUUACCGGAGAAAAGAAAAACUGGAGGAGGUUGGGUGUUCAAAAUGGACAAUACUGGCAAGAUCAAG